Molecule: ribosomal RNA, 482 nt
Filed under: uncultured bacterium
Lineage: Bacteria
Description: partial 16S ribosomal RNA
Rfam family: Bacterial small subunit ribosomal RNA
Source: RNAcentral
GACGAACGCUGGAGGCGUGCUUAACACAUGCAAGUCGAACGAUGAAAUGGAGCUUGCUCCAUGGAUUAGUGGCGAACGGGUGAGUAACACGUGAAUAACCUGCCCUUAAUUUUGGAAUAACCCAGGGAAACCUGGGCUAAUACCGGAUAAGUAAACCUGUGGCAUCACAUGGUUUUGGAAAGUUUUUCGAUUAAGGAUGGAUUCGCGGCCUAUCAGCUUGUUGGUGAGGCAAUGGCUCACCAAGGCGACGACGGGUAGCCGGCCUGAGAGGGUGAACGGCCACCCUGGGACUGAGACACGGCCCAGACUCCUACGGGAGGCAGCAGUGGGGAAUAUUGCGCAAUGGACGAAAGUCUGACGCAGCGACGCCUCGUGAGGGACGAAGGUCUUCGGAUUGUAAACCUCUUUCAGCAGGGACGAAGCGAAAGUGACGGUACCUGCAGAAGAAGCACCGGCUAACUAUGUGCCAGCAGCCGCGGUAA